UGAGGAAUAUUGGUCAAUGGGCGCAAGCCUGAACCAGCCAAGUAGCGUGCAGGAAGACGGCCCUAUGGGUUGUAAACUGCUUUUAUACGAGAAUAAUUUGAUGCACGUGUGCGUUAUUGCAUGUAUCGUAUGAAUAAGGACCGGCUAAUUCCGUGCCAGCAGCCGCGGUAAUACGGAAGGUCCAGGCGUUAUCCGGAUUUAUUGGGUUUAAAGGGAGUGUAGGCGGUUUGUUAAGCGUGUUGUGAAAUUUAGAUGCUCAACAUUUAACUUGCAGCGCGAACUGUCAGACUUGAGUACACGCAACGUAUGCGGAAUUCAUGGUGUAGCGGUGAAAUGCUUAGAUAUCAUGAAGAACUCCGAUUGCGAAGGCAGCAUACGGGAGUGUAACUGACGCUUAAGCUCGAAGGUGCGGGUAUCGAACAGGAUUAGAUACCCUGGUAGUCCGCACAGUAAACGAUGGAUGCCCGCUGUUAGCGCCUGGCGUUAGCGGCUAAGCGAAAGCAUUAAGCAUCCCACCUGGGGAGUACGCCGGCAACGGUG
RNAcentral lists this ribosomal RNA (540 nucleotides) under uncultured bacterium. RNAcentral's name for it is "bacterial SSU rRNA". It matches the Rfam family "Bacterial small subunit ribosomal RNA", at positions 355 to 896 of the family's 1533-position model. The record is from RNAcentral.